RNAcentral lists this ribosomal RNA (222 nucleotides) under uncultured bacterium. RNAcentral's name for it is "partial 16S ribosomal RNA". It matches the Rfam family "Bacterial small subunit ribosomal RNA", at positions 794 to 1015 of the family's 1533-position model. The record is from RNAcentral.
UCCACGCCGUAAACGAUGGAUACUAGCUGUCCGGGGCCUUGAGUCCUGGGCGGCCAAGCGAAAGUGAUAAGUAUCCCACCUGGGGAGUACGUUCGCAAGAAUGAAACUCAAAGGAAUUGACGGGGGCCCGCACAAGCGGUGGAGCAUGUGGUUUAAUUCGAUGAUACGCGAGGAACCUUACCAGGGCUUAAAUGCAUAUUGACAGGGGUAAGAUACCUUUCC